ACAUGCAAGUCGAACGAGCUUCCGUUGAAUGACGUGCUUGCACUGAUUUCAACAAUGAAGCGAGUGGCGAACUGGUGAGUAACACGUGGGGAAUCUGCCCAGAAGCAGGGGAUAACACUUGGAAACAGGUGCUAAUACCGUAUAACAACAAAAUCCGCAUGGAUUUUGUUUGAAAGGUGGCUUCGGCUAUCACUUCUGGAUGAUCCCGCGGCGUAUUAGUUAGUUGGUGAGGUAAAGGCCCACCAAGACGAUGAUACGUAGCCGACCUGAGAGGGUAAUCGGCCACAUUGGGACUGAGACACGGCCCAAACUCCUACGGGAGGCAGCAGUAGGGAAUCUUCCACAAUGGACGAAAGUCUGAUGGAGCAAUGCCGCGUGAGUGAAGAAGGGUUUCGGCUCGUAAAACUCUGUUGUUAAAGAAGAACACCUUUGAGAGUAACUGUUCAAGGGUUGACGGUAUUUAACCAGAAAGCCACGGCUAACUACGUGCCAGCAGCCGCGGUAAUACGUAGGUGGCAAGCGUUGUCCGGAUUUAUUGGGCGUAAAGCGAGCGCAGGCGGUUUUUUAAGUCUGAUGUGAAAGCCUUCGGCUUAACCGGAGAAGUGCAUCGGAAACUGGGAGACUUGAGUGCAGAAGAGGACAGUGGAACUCCAUGUGUAGCGGUGGAAUGCGUAGAUAUAUGGGAAGAACACCAGUGGCGAAGGCGGCUGUCUAGUUCUGUAACUGACGCUGAGGCUCGAAAGCAUGGGGUAGCGAACAGGAUUAGAUACCCCUGGAAGUCCAUGCCGUAAACGAUGAGUGCUAAGUGUUGGAGGGUUCCGCCCCUUCAGAGCUGCAGCUACCGCAAUAAGCACUCCGCCUGGGGAGUAUGACCGCAAGGGUGAAACCUCCAAGGAAAUGGACGGGGCCCGCACAAUGCGGUGGAGCUUGUGGUUAUAUUUCAAAGCUACGCGAAGAACCUUACCAGGUCUUGGCAUCCUUCUGCCAAUCUUAAAAGAUUAAAAUGUUU
This 1009-nucleotide ribosomal RNA is filed under the name Levilactobacillus brevis. RNAcentral describes it as "bacterial SSU rRNA". It matches the Rfam family "Bacterial small subunit ribosomal RNA", at positions 53 to 1017 of the family's 1533-position model. The record is from RNAcentral. Lineage: Bacteria; Bacillati; Bacillota; Bacilli; Lactobacillales; Lactobacillaceae.